GUGUCAGCCGCCGCGGUAAUACGGAGGAUCCAAGCGUUAUCCGGAAUCAUUGGGUUUAAAGGGUCCGUAGGCGGUUUUAUAAGUCAGUGGUGAAAUCCGGCAGCUCAACUGUCGAACUGCCAUUGAUACUGUAGAACUUGAAUUAUUGUGAAGUAACUAGAAUAUGUAGUGUAGCGGUGAAAUGCUUAGAGAUUACAUGGAAUACCAAUUGCGAAGGCAGGUUACUAACAAUACAUUGACGCUGAUGGACGAAAGCGUGGGUAGCGAACAGGAUUAGAUACCCUGGUAGUCCACGCCGUAAACGAUGGAUACUAGCUGUUCGGUAGCAAUACUGAGUGGCUAAGCGAAAGUGAUAAGUAUCCCACCUGGGGAGUACGAACGCAAGUUUGAAACUCAAAGGAAUUGACGGGGGCCCGCACAAGCGGUGGAGCAUGUGGUUUAAUUCGAUGAUACGCGAGGAACCUUACCAGGGCUUAAAUGUAGAGUGACAGUUUUGGAAACAGAAUUUUCUUCGGACACUUUACAAGGUGCUGCAUGGUUGUCGUCAGCUCGUGCCGUGAGGUGUCAGGUUAAGUCCUAUAACGAGCGCAACCCCUGUUGUUAGUUGCCAGCGAGUCAAGUCGGGAACUCUAACAAGACUGCCGGUGCAAACCGAGAGGAAGGUGGGGAUGACGUCAAAUCAUCACGGCCCUUACGUCCUGGGCUACACACGUGCUACAAUGGCCGGUACAGCGAGCAGCCACUGCGCGAGCAGGAGCGAAUCUACAAAACCGGUCACAGUUCGGAUUGGAGUCUGCAACCCGACUCCAUGAAGCUGGAAUCGCUAGUAAUCGGAUAUCAGCCAUGAUCCGGUGAAUACGUUCCCGGGCCUUGCACACACCGCCCGUC
This 888-nucleotide ribosomal RNA is filed under the name uncultured bacterium. RNAcentral describes it as "bacterial SSU rRNA". It matches the Rfam family "Bacterial small subunit ribosomal RNA", at positions 505 to 1398 of the family's 1533-position model. The record is from RNAcentral.